Long non-coding RNA from Siniperca chuatsi (mandarin fish), 392 nucleotides. RefSeq lists it as uncharacterized. The transcript has 2 exons. The record is from RefSeq and is a predicted model, not a curated record. Lineage: Eukaryota; Metazoa; Chordata; Actinopteri; Centrarchiformes; Sinipercidae.
CCAGUAUGUGUGACACUCUUCCUCCUUUUUCCUCCUCCUCAUCCUGUUUAACAUGCUUGCCCAGUACACAUGUAUACAUGUGCACUACUCAUUCAGUUUCUUCACACAGAUUUUCAGGAUAUCAUGAAGCCACCUUUCAUUUCCCUUUGAACUGAACAAGGACUGCAGCGGACGCAGCCAACACCUUCCCUACUGACUUUGGGCUUUAGUUUCCUAAUCUCACCUUGCGGUGUCAACCCCAUUCACACCAGCGCUGAAAAAUCUAAUUGAAUAUUAUAUAUAAUAUAAUUGAAAUCAUGUCUUGCAUCAUGAAAUACUACUGAUAUAGUCCUCAUAACCUUAAUAUCAGUGGUGUUUGUGCUUUUACAUGCAAUAAAAAAAUGUCAGUUUGA